This 800-nucleotide ribosomal RNA is filed under the name uncultured bacterium. RNAcentral describes it as "bacterial SSU rRNA". It matches the Rfam family "Bacterial small subunit ribosomal RNA", at positions 8 to 818 of the family's 1533-position model. The record is from RNAcentral.
AGAGUUUGAUCCUGGCUCAGGACGAACGCUGGCGGCGUGCUUAACACAUGCAAGUCACGGGGGGCCCGCAAGGGUCAACCGGCGAACGGGUGCGUAACACGUGAGCGACCUGCCCAGUUGCGGGGGAUAGCCGGCCCAACGGCCGGGUAAUACCGCAUACGCUUCUCUGGGGGCAUACCUGGGGAAGGAAACCUACGGGGCGAUUGGAGGGGCUCGCGGCCUAUCAGCUAGUUGGCGAGGUAACGGCUCACCAAGGCGAUGACGGGUAGCUGGUCUGAGAGGAUGGCCAGCCACAUUGGGACUGAGAGACGGCCCAGACUCCUACGGGAGGCAGCAGUGGGGAAUCUUGCGCAAUGGCCGAAAGGCUGACGCAGCGACGCCGCGUGGAGGAUGACGCCCUUCGGGGUGUAAACUCCUGUUGCCCGGGACGAAUGCCCCGUUUGCGGGGAGUGACGGUACCGGGUGAGGAAGCACCGGCUAACUCUGUGCCAGCAGCCGCGGUAAUACAGAGGGUGCGAGCGUUGUCCGGAAUCACUGGGCGUAAAGGGCGCGUAGGGCGGCUCGGUAAGCGUGUGGUGAAAGCCCGGGGCUCAACCCCGGGUCGGCCAUGCGAACUGUCGAGCUGGAGCACGGUAGAGGCACAUGGAAUUCCGGGUGUAGCGGUGGAAUGCGUAGAGAUCCGGAAGAACACCGGUGGCGAAGGCGGUGUGCUGGGCCGUAGCUGACGCUGAGGCGCGACAGCGUGGGGAGCAAACAGGAUUAGAUACCCUGGUAGUCCACGCCGUAAACGAUGGGCACUA